GACAGAGGGGGCAAGCGUUGCUCGGAAUUACUGGGCGUAAAGGGCGCGUAGGCGGGAUGGCAAGUCGGUCGUGAAAUCCCUCGGCUCAACUGAGGAGCGUCGAUCGAAACUGCCGGUCUUGAGGGUUGCAGAGGAGACUGGAAUUCCCGGUGUAGCGGUGAAAUGUGUAGAGAUCGGGAGGAACACCGGUGGCGAAGGCGGGUCUCUGGGCAGCUCCUGACGCUGAGGCGCGAAAGCGUGGGGAGCAAACGGG
RNAcentral lists this ribosomal RNA (253 nucleotides) under uncultured bacterium. RNAcentral's name for it is "partial 16S ribosomal RNA". It matches the Rfam family "Bacterial small subunit ribosomal RNA", at positions 524 to 776 of the family's 1533-position model. The record is from RNAcentral.